Argiope bruennichi is the source of this 783-nucleotide long non-coding RNA. RefSeq lists it as uncharacterized. The record is from RefSeq and is a predicted model, not a curated record. Lineage: Eukaryota; Metazoa; Arthropoda; Arachnida; Araneae; Araneidae. The transcript is spliced from 4 exons.
UCUGGCCCGCCGAAAAACACGUGUUCGCAGAGCCAGACUGUAACACUCGGGCCUUCUGGAGGGAUGCCAAGGUUAAUAGUAGCAGCAGGUUUGUCUCACCUACCUGAUUUGCGACCAAAUCAUGGGAGGUGCGAUCAAUCGGUGAGUGACAGAAUACACGCCGAGCCAUUUAUUACGUGAAUGACCAUUUUUAAAAUUCUGAAGUUUCUCUAUCCUAAUUAGAAAUUAUGGAAGCAGAAUACCAAUGAUGAAUGACUUUGACAGAAUAUCAAUUACAAUGACUUCUGCCACAUUGCUGCAUUUCCUCCAGGAUCAAAACUGAUGUCAGAAAAAAUAUGUUAACAAGAAUUAGGUAGAUAAGUGGAGUGAGCGCUAAAAUCCACCAUGUGCGAUUCAGCAGAGGACUGUUUGCGCAAAUAUUGAUUCAAGUUCUGGAGAUUAGAGCGUAUCCUUGAAAGUGGGUGUCAUAAUAUGGAGGUCACCACACCCUAGUCACUGGGUGGACCGCAAUACCUUGAAAAAAAUUAGAAGUAGUCCGUACCCUGGAAAAGUCUGCCCACCCCUGAUGUUGGAGCAUCAAUAAAUUUUGGAUAAAAUCUGUCAAACAAAGAAUGUCAGUCAAUCUACUUAGGCUUAUGAGAACACAAUGUGCCAAAGGAAUGAAACUUAACACGAAAUAUUUACAUUCAAAAUUGUUGGUAUGUAACAGUCUUACACUAAACAGGUCAAAGGAUAUUAUUUCAAAAUGUAUAAUUGACCCCAAACGUGCAAACUAUAAAAAGA